CUAGAUAACUGUUUAAGAUAGAAUGGCAGUAAUGUUCUGAGUCUUGCAGCUUGGAUCACUUUUAUAAAUAAAAUAUUUAUUUUAUAUGGAGCAUUUAUUAAAUACAUAAAAGUAUUAGAAGGAAGAGUAAUCUCUUAUGAGACUGUAUUUUAAAUACCACACUAUUAAUGUAUUUAAUACCCUUUUUGUAAAAUAGAUGCAGCAAUAAAUUGUCUAUAGAAAAAAAUAUUUUAAGUCUACAAAUGUAAUGACUGGCUGAAACACUAUUAAAGCAUCUAUCUGUGGUUGUAUUAUUGCUUAUGCUUCACCAAAAAAGAAAA
Long non-coding RNA from Candoia aspera, 320 nucleotides. RefSeq lists it as uncharacterized. The transcript is spliced from 2 exons. The record is from RefSeq and is a predicted model, not a curated record. NCBI's taxonomy places the organism in Eukaryota, Metazoa, Chordata, Lepidosauria, Squamata, Candoiidae.